GGGUACUCGAGCGGCGAACGGGUGAGUAACACGUGAGUAAUCUGCCCUGCGCUCUGGGAUAGCCACCGGAAACGGUGAUUAAUACCGGAUAGGACCACUUCACGCAUGUGAUGGUGGUGGAAAGUUUUUUCGGCGCAGGAUGUGCUCGCGGCCUAUCAGCUUGUUGGUGAGGUAACGGCUCACCAAGGCUUUGACGGGUAACCGGCCUGAGAGGGUGACCGGUCACACUGGGACUGAGACACGGCCCAGACUCCUACGGGAGGCAGCAGUGGGGAAUAUUGGACAAUGGGCGGAAGCCUGAUCCAGCAACGCCGCGUGAGGGAUGACGGCCUUCGGGUUGUAAACCUCUUUCAGUACCGACGAAGCGAAAGUGACGGUAGGUACAGAAGAAGGACCGGCCAACUACGUGCCAGCAGCCGCGGUAAUACGUAGGGUCCGAGCGUUGUCCGGAAUUAUUGGGCGUAAAGGGCUCGUAGGCGGUUUGUCGCGUCGGGAGUGAAAACACCGGGCUUAACUCGGUGCUUGCUUUCGAUACGGGCAGACUAGAGGUAUGCAGGGGAGAAUGGAAUUCCUGGUGUAGCGGUGAAAUGCGCAGAUAUCAGGAGGAACACCGGUGGCGAAGGCGGUUCUCUGGGCAUUACCUGACGCUGAGGAGCGAAAGUGUGGGGAGCGAACAGGAUUAGAUACCCUGGUAGUCCACACCGUAAACGUUGGGCGCUAGGUGUGGGGCCUAUUCCA
RNAcentral lists this ribosomal RNA (738 nucleotides) under uncultured Nocardioides sp. RNAcentral's name for it is "bacterial SSU rRNA". It matches the Rfam family "Bacterial small subunit ribosomal RNA", at positions 85 to 836 of the family's 1533-position model. The record is from RNAcentral. Lineage: Bacteria; Bacillati; Actinomycetota; Actinomycetes; Propionibacteriales; Nocardioidaceae.